RNAcentral lists this unclassified non-coding RNA (4707 nucleotides) under Acanthaster planci (crown-of-thorns starfish). RNAcentral describes it as "serine/arginine-rich splicing factor 2-like, transcript variant X1". The record is from RNAcentral. Lineage: Eukaryota; Metazoa; Echinodermata; Asteroidea; Valvatida; Acanthasteridae.
CGCGUGACGUGAGGCACGCCAUAUUCACAUUCAACAUGCCGGCGUGAGUACUGUUGCACACUUAGCGAUUAGAAAUCUUUCGAUUUCCUUGUUAAAAGUCAAAAAGUCCCCGUUUGUGACAAUUGUGAAAUUUUUGAGACCCUUAAAUACUUCCCAAAGAUGUCACACGGUGGAGGGCCUCCAGACAUUGAGGGAAUGACGUCCCUGAAAGUGGACAAUCUGACGUACCGCACAAAGCCGGAGGAUCUGUACAAAGUCUUCUCGAAAUACGGCGACGUUGGAGAUGUGUACAUCCCGCGUGACCGCUACUCCAAAGAAAGCAGAGGUUUUGCCUUCGUCCGGUUUUUCGACAAGCACGACGCAGAAGAUGCGAUGGACUACAUGGAUGGAGCCGCCAUGGAUGGAAGAGAUUUGAGGGUUCAAAUGGCCAGGUAUGGUCGGCCUUCCUCAGACUACAAUCGACGGCCGAGGAGUCGAUAUGACCGCGGUGGGGGCGGUCGGUAUGGUGGUUAUGGUCGGCGUGGAAGGGAUUCCAGGUCACGUUCUAGAUCACGCUCCAGAGGAAGAUGGCGCGGCAGGUCUCGUUCCCGUUCACCCCGCCGUUCUCCCAGGCGCUCGCCCCGGCGGUCCCCACCUUACCGCCGUCGUCGCUCCCCGUCCCGUUCCCGGAGCCAUUCCCAUAGCCCCCCGCCCCGCCGCUCCCGCUCCCCAGCCAAGCGCAGCCGACGGAGCAACAGCCGCAGCCGCUCCCGCUCAGGUUCCAAGUCGCCCCGGCAGAGGAUGCAGUCGCCGUCACGCUCCCGCUCCCGUUCCCGUUCUCGCUCGGGCUCCUACAGCAAAGGGGACUAAGAAGAUGGAGAGUCGCUCUGCUGUCGCCCGCCGUGGUGGCCAUGAAGGUGUUGGGGGCAGUGCAGGAUCACCUGUUGUGACCAUGCCUGUUUUUAAGGAUGCAGUAAUCCGCUAAGCAGUUAAUGCAGUUAGUAAUAAAGUCAUGCAGUGGACUGCAGUAAGGCAGACCUGGUUGGUGUUAACACGGUACCGAGCUAGCAGGUGUUAGCAGUGUUGCAGUUGGCUGAGUUACCGGUGAUGGGCAGAGUACCGGUGAUUGGCAGUGUGUACAUAGCCGUGUGUGCAGGCCAAGAUGGCAGUCUGGGGCCCUGCUGAAAAUAUUCCAGUGCUGCCGUGUUAGCAGAGCCCAGAUAUCGGGCGUUGGCAGUUGGCAUUUCGUGCAGUCCGUGGGUGAGACAUGGAGUGCAGUGUUGGUGCUGUUCCAAUUCAGACAUCCCUUGCUGGUGCUGCUGAAAAUGCCGAGAGGUAGCUGUCUAGCCGUGUUCUCGUACCUGGCAUCCCCCCCACAGCUCACAGAUAAAAAGGAAAGCGCAGUACUUGGAGUGUAAGUUAAGCAUAGAUCUGUGUGAUUGUAUCAUUCCUGUUUUACAUGCAUGCAGAGCUUAACUGAACCAUAGAGCCGUGUGUAAUAGCUCCAUGACUGAACCAUACAGGGUGUCUCAGUUUCCAUGUACGUUUUGAACACCAUUUCUGAACUACAUGCAUAAAAACUUUGCAACAGAACCAAAUCGUCCAAGAAGAGACACCACCGACCCUUUUGUUGCCCUUGUAUGUAUAUUAAGAUGAGCACACUUGAUCUCUUCUCAUGCUCCUUACUGGGAAAUCAGAUUCCUUAACUAGCCCUGUGUCCCCCCAACUGCCAACCAUCUUAUGAAACUCCAAAGACUUUCAUAUAUAUUUACUAUUGCUACCCCUGAUCAUUGUGCAUGUACAUUUACACAUGUACGUGCUGGUCAACUAAUUUGGAUUUUCCAGAUUUCACCAGUACAUGUACCAUGAGGUGUGCUGGGAGAACCCCAGGAAGUACUUCAAAAAGCUAUCGAUAUUUGGACUCAUUUUCUGCACUACAUACAGGUUUAGAGUCCUUCACAAAUAAGGCUUCCUGCAUUGUUGGGAAUGCUGGUACAGUGUGUACAGUGGUCAUAUGCCUGGAUCCAUCUGGUCAAACUAGAGAGAAAAACAACUGAGUCCAAGGCAAGUCGGGGGGGGUGUCAGUUUUCAACCUCAGCUUUUCAGGUGUACUGCUGUCAGAAAAGUAUGGGUUUGAGCAAGUAAAUUGAAUUUCAGAUUUUGGACGACAAUUAAAUUCGUUUAUUUUCAAGAUGUACUUUCAUUUUGCUGUGACAGACAAAAUUGAAGUUGAAACUCUUAUCUGCAGUUGCUUACGCUGGGGAACCCAAGAUGAAAUCUUACUUCCCGUCUUAAUUCUAUGCCUGAAUGUACAAAAGAAUAGAAACUUUGGUUUUGUGGAGAAACGGUUAUCGUCAACUUGCUAAAUGUCUCACGACAGUCAAAUCACAUGCCUGGUCACAGGUAGAAGUUGUGAACUGUGACAGGCUGAAAGGAAAGCCUUUAUUCAAUUGAAUAGCUAUAGACCUUUAUCGUGAUGCUUCCAUGUUUAUCUUGUUCCCAGUAGACCCAUGGGCAAUAGUAGUACAAGUUUGCACAGUGAUAAAAGGGACAGACUAUUUUCCCUUCCAGCUUCUGGUUACACAGCUUUGAAUGGUAGAAAAGCAAGAUGGCUGGCCCAUGAUAGAGGUCUUAUUGACUGACUUUUCAUAGACUUGUGACAACUUUACAUCACUGAUGAGAUUUUCUCAUUCCGAGAAGCCUUUCUACACUGUACUCUCAAAACCCCCAAUAGAUGGGAUUUUUGUAUUCACACUUAAAAAAAAAAGUGUGGCAGUAAAGCUCGCUGGCACAAUGUUGGGUUUUACUACUUACGAAGGGUUCCUUCCAUUCUGUUCGGUCCAAACACAUUCCUCUCGAAGUGGAGUGAUUCAGGCCUCACCUCUGGAAAACUAGGUUAACCAGCAUUUUCCCCAACAGGCAAGGCUGGAAGACGCGCAGUAUUAAAUGGACCCGGAUGUCUGCGCCAAUCCAGUGGCUGGGCUUAAAAGUAAGUAUCUGGGCACCAGACCCCAUUCAUUAGGCUCCAACCCACUCUGCACAAGGUACAUGGGCAUCAGCGAUAAACAAUUCAGUCGAAUCUCACUGACAAGAGGCCCCUUGGUCUUAGCAGAUUAUCUUAACAUAUCAGGAAUGAAAAGAGUGAAGAACGAAGGAUUGGGACCUAAAUCCUCUAAUAUAAGCAACAUGUUGCAUUGACUGUGCUCUUAUUAGCAAGGUUUGGCAGUACAAGUAUAGUCGGCUCCUAAAAUUGCAGGGACAAGACAAAUACUUUUGUUAUUACCAGGAAUGCGUAAUAAAAGGGAAUGGAAAAAUAAUUCAAAAAAUGGUUCAAAAAUUGACUUUAUUACAAGUAUUUUGUUACACAGUUUGUUAUAUUGAGAAUGGACUGAACAUGUUUAAUAUGAUCACUUUGUCCUGCUGACAAGAGUUUUAGGUCCAAAGUCUUGGCAUUUUGUUUUCUAUUCCUGACAAGAUCCUUGUAUGUGUACAAGGUGCAAUUUACAGUGUCCCAAAGACCUUGUUAUGAAGGGGUCUCGUCUGACUUGCUCACUCAUGCUGGACUUUAUCGGACAUUGUUCAUGCAGUCAUCACUGAUUGGUCAAAACUUCAUGGGGUGUGGGAUAUAAUGGAUUGGACUGUGCAAGCAAACUGAAGCAGUUGAAGUGGGAGCCCUUUGACCCGCCCGAGUUCUUCUUUCCACAACUGUUGUGCUGAAGAACUUGAGUUGCACCAACUGACAAGCUUGUUGUCGACAGUUGAGGGUGCCUUCAACGGCUUGCAGACUUCAUGCAUGCAGGGAAACAUUGCCAGUUACUUGUACAUGUAACUCACAUGCACGAGCUGUGUGCCUUUGUAACAGGACUUGGUAAAUCAAGGUUUAACUUCGAAGGGGGAGCAGGUAAAUGGGGAUUUCUUUCCGAAAGUGUUGCCCAGAUUCCCAGGAAGAUCUACCACAUCUGCCAUCUUAAUGCUUUAAAACUACAAAAAUGUGAAUGGGGGAUGGGACUUGAUGGUGAGCAUUGAAUUCUAAUUCCCGGUGUACCAGUAAACUGAUUUUUGAGCUAGCCUCAUCAUAGUUUAUUUGUAGUGUCCAGAACCAGGCUAUUCACAAUGGUUGAGAAUGACAAAGGCACCAGACCAUUCUAGGGCUGGAGAUUUCUGGGACCAUGUCUGAAUGCUUGACUACAACAAGAAUGAAUGUGCCUGCUCAAAAGGCAUAAUUCAGCAAGUCAGCAGCUUCCCAAGGCAUUUUAUUUUUACUAGCCGAAGCGAAUUACAUUGCAUUUCCAACACUGCUUUCAGUAAGCGUUGCAUUCCCUUGAAUUGUGCUUUGUACAGUGCACUUACCAAGUGCAGUGCACAUAAGUACACUGUAUACACUGAUUUGCUUGACUGGUUUGUCAGCAAGUUGCUUCCAAGUCCAUGUUCUUCAGCAUGAGUAACGUUCACUUUGUCUUGUGAAAUUUUUACAUGUACAUGUAUUUGACAAACCGCUGUGUAUUUUAUUGCAUUAACAGGAAAAGUGCAUGAAUUCUGUAUUUCACCGUGUUCACCUUUGCCUCUUAAAAAAAGAACUUUUUAGCUGAUUGUUAUAUUGAAUGCAACUUGGAAAAAGACAUAGUGAAUGUAACCUUGCUUUUAAUUUGCACAGUUUUUACGGUGUUUCAGUGUUGUGUUUUACUUGAGAGAUCGAGUUGGAAUAAAUUUCUGAUGAUCGUAAACGAA